UCGUAUUCACGCAGCGCCCUAUCGAACUAAACUUGGCCCGUGUUGCUAGAUUCAAAAUAAUUUCGGUUUCUUCCUACCUUUGUUUUUUUUUUUAAUCGCAGGUCGUUUUUGAAAAAAAAUUGUCUUCAAAUAUUCCUUUAUUCGUCUGCGCUUUGUAUUAAUUAAUAUUUUAAGCAAACUAAAUAGGAAAGAAAGCGUUUUUUUGUCAAGUCAUGAGUGUUAGCCUUAGCUCCGUUCGGGCUCUGGUAACCCCGUCGUUUCAUCUGUCACCGAUGGCUCGCCACGUCGAGAGCCGUUCUUUUUGGAUUCGGAAGAGAUCGUAGCAAGGCGUGGUUGUUUCCUUUUCCCAGCGGCCUGGUGCCGUCUGAUGGCUUCUACCUAUAUCGCGGUUUAAGCCGCCUAAUCCUCGUUGGAUGUGAAUCGUCCUGUGCAGUUGAAGCCCCGGGUGCAUUGAAAUUAUGCAAGUCCUUUCCUACCCCCGCUUAUUGUCUGCCCCGGGGUUUCAAGAUUUACCGUCUUUAUUACAAGUGUACGGUGUGGCCUCAAGAUGCCAGCUUCUGCAAGCCGAGCUACCAGUGGCAGGGAGCUGUGCCUGGCGUUUCCCUACUUCCACGUCGAGGUUCCUGGUCAACGUGGCGGUUGUAUUGUUUACGGUCUCUCGAAGUUUUGGAGGUUAGAUCGACCCUUUAUUUAAUAUUAAUUACUGAACCAGAGAUGCUGGUUCUGGCGCCCUCAUACCCCUUACUACCGUUUAAAUUUGUCCGUCAGUAGGCCGCUUCUACCAAAACAUUUU
Molecule: long non-coding RNA, 793 nt
Organism: Cydia splendana
Lineage: Eukaryota; Metazoa; Arthropoda; Insecta; Lepidoptera; Tortricidae
Exons: 3
Source: RefSeq, a predicted model, not a curated record